Molecule: ribosomal RNA, 120 nt
Filed under: Lepisosteus oculatus (spotted gar)
Lineage: Eukaryota; Metazoa; Chordata; Actinopteri; Semionotiformes; Lepisosteidae
Source: RNAcentral
GCCAGCAGCCAUAUCACCCUGUACCUCACAACUGGCAGCCCACUGAAGCUCAGCAGGUGUGAGCCUGGUCAGUACCUGGAUGGGAGACCUCCUGGGGAAAAACUAAGGUUGCUGCUGGAA